UCCUCGGUGCUCCAAUGGCACGAGCGCCCUCGCGGUGGCCUAGGCUCCGUCAUCGAGGAGAUCCUGGUUCAAGUCCAGGUCGGGGAA
Xylariales sp. AK1849 is the source of this 87-nucleotide non-coding RNA. Lineage: Eukaryota; Fungi; Ascomycota; Sordariomycetes; Xylariales. The record is from the annotation of a GenBank genome assembly.